AACGAACGCUGGCGGCGUGCCUAACACAUGCAAGUCGAACGGAUCCUUCGGGACUAGUGGCGGACGGGUGAGUAACACGUGGGAACGUGCCCUUUGGUUCGGAACAACUCAGGGAAACUUGAGCUAAUACCGGAUGUGCCCUUCGGGGAAAGAUUUAUCGCCAUUGGAGCGGCCCGCGUCUGAUUAGCUAGUUGGUGAGGUAAAGGCUCACCAAGGCGACGAUCAGUAGCUGGUCUGAGAGGAUGAUCAGCCACACUGGCACUGAGAUACGGGCCAGACUCCUACGGGAGGCAGCAGUAGGGAAUAUUGGCAAUGGAUGCAAGUCU
This 326-nucleotide ribosomal RNA is filed under the name uncultured bacterium. RNAcentral describes it as "bacterial SSU rRNA". It matches the Rfam family "Bacterial small subunit ribosomal RNA", at positions 29 to 384 of the family's 1533-position model. The record is from RNAcentral.